GGCACUAUAAGCCUAAUUGGUAAGGCAGCUGACUAGAAAUCAGCUAGUAAUCGUGAUAAGCGAUGUCUAGGUUCAAGUCCUAGUGGUGUCG
This 91-nucleotide transfer RNA is filed under the name Clostridia bacterium. RNAcentral describes it as "tRNA-Ser". It matches the Rfam family "tRNA". From Rfam's summary of the family: Transfer RNA (tRNA) molecules are approximately 80 nucleotides in length. Their secondary structure includes four short double-helical elements and three loops (D, anti-codon, and T loops). The record is from RNAcentral. Lineage: Bacteria; Bacillati; Bacillota; Clostridia.